AAGGCAAUUGCUGGCGGAAACCGGGCUGGGCGCCAUUUAGGGUCCGGACCCAGGAUCCGGUUCCGGGGGUGGUUCAAAUCCCCCUUGCCUUA
This 92-nucleotide transfer RNA is filed under the name Sphingosinicella rhizophila. RNAcentral's name for it is "tRNA-OTHER". Lineage: Bacteria; Pseudomonadati; Pseudomonadota; Alphaproteobacteria; Sphingomonadales; Sphingosinicellaceae. The record is from RNAcentral.